Molecule: ribosomal RNA, 253 nt
Filed under: uncultured bacterium
Lineage: Bacteria
Description: partial 16S ribosomal RNA
Rfam family: Bacterial small subunit ribosomal RNA
Source: RNAcentral
UACGUAGGGUGCAAGCGUUGUCCGGAAUUAUUGGGCGUAAAGAGCUCGUAGGCGGUUCGUCGCGUCGGCUGUGAAAACCCGGAGCUCAACUCCGGGCCUGCAGUCGAUACGGGCGGACUCGAGUUCGGCAGGGGAGACUGGAAUUCCUGGUGUAGCGGUGAAAUGCGCAGAUACCAGGAAGAACACCCGUGGCUAAGGCGGUUCUCUAGUACGGUACUGACGCUGAGACGCGAAAGCGUGGGGAGCGAACAGG